Molecule: long non-coding RNA, 272 nt
Filed under: Elaeis guineensis (African oil palm)
Lineage: Eukaryota; Viridiplantae; Streptophyta; Magnoliopsida; Arecales; Arecaceae
Description: long non-coding RNA (EGUI_LNC082192)
Source: RNAcentral
GUUCAUCUACAGAAUCGAGAUUUUUGGAAGCUGGGACGGACGAACUCCUAGAACUACUAGAAGAAGAAGUGCUGGAGGACAUUAUGGAUCGAGCAAAAACCCUAAAAAUCUUGAAAAAAUUGAGAAAAAUAAGGGAUGGGGCACUUGCGGAAAACUGAACAGGUGGAAUGUACCAGAAGAAAAAUGGAAGAAGAACAGCAAGAGAAAAAUGAAGAGGAGAGUUCUGAAACUAACCUAGGUUGGUCCGAGAAGUACAGAGAUGUGGAGAGGGG